GGCGCCGGGUGGUGCGGCGGCGAAGCCUCGCUGCAUGGUGUGAUGAUGUGUUUUUUAGAGCGCCUCGCGUCCCAGCAGAGCCCUGCGAGCAUCCUACUCAGGUGAUGAGGAACCCUUCGUGCACCCAGCGCAGAACGCCGCUGCCGCUGGACGCCUCCAUUGUUUGACCACAACAAGGGCCGGAUUCUCACCCAGGAUCCUCAGCCUUCUGUAGCCCUUCAGCCACUGUGGGCCCUGCCUCUGCCUCCUCUUCUGGAAUGUCUUGGGGGUUUUGACUCCUGGCACCGUGGUAAGUUUUCCCCUUGUUGCACCAUUUUUCCUACAUGGAGAUGCCCCCUCAGGCAUUUCUAAACUGAAGCCGUCUCUGGAGUAUUUUCUAAGCCUGUGCCUUUUGGGCCUCAGUGAAGAAGAAAGUCUCCC
This 420-nucleotide long non-coding RNA is filed under the name Rhinolophus ferrumequinum (greater horseshoe bat). Its description in RNAcentral is "lncRNA (ENSRFEG00010019478.1)". Lineage: Eukaryota; Metazoa; Chordata; Mammalia; Chiroptera; Rhinolophidae. The record is from RNAcentral.